AAUCUUACUUUUAGCAGAAAAAUGCCUUAGACUUAGAAUCUAAAAUCGCCCUA
RNAcentral lists this transfer RNA (53 nucleotides) under Loxosceles sp. Tenerife 3. RNAcentral describes it as "tRNA-Leu". The record is from RNAcentral. Lineage: Eukaryota; Metazoa; Arthropoda; Arachnida; Araneae; Sicariidae.